GGUAUAAGCCUAAGUUUUUGUUGAUUAAUUCUUUGUUAAGAACCAACUAUUUACUUGAUAUCUAUUUUUCUCUCUCUAUAUAUAUAUAUGUUAAAUUUUUGCAGUAGCAACACCUUUCAAAACAGAGAUCAUCCAAGAGCAACAUCAUAUUGGAACCAAGGCACUCUUCUCGUUUGAGUCAUCAAUCAAAUAGUUAUAUGGAGAAUGAUGAGUCUCACUCAGAACAUCGCAACAAUAGUGAUAUUGUUUUUUAUGAUGAUGAAUCUCCAAGUGUUGAGGU
RNAcentral lists this long non-coding RNA (280 nucleotides) under Elaeis guineensis (African oil palm). RNAcentral describes it as "long non-coding RNA (EGUI_LNC042722)". Lineage: Eukaryota; Viridiplantae; Streptophyta; Magnoliopsida; Arecales; Arecaceae. The record is from RNAcentral.